UGCAGUCGAGCGAUGAAGCACCUUCGGGUGUGAAUUAGCGGCGAACGGGUGAGGAACACGUGAAGAAUCUGCCUUCAACUCUGGGAUAACUCCGGGAAACCGGGGCUAAUACCGGAUAUGAGCCUUGAUCGCAUGAUCGGGGCUGGAAAGUUUUUCGGUUGAAGAUGACUUCGCGGCCUAUCAGCUUGUUGGUGAGGUAAUGGCUCACCAAGGCGACGACGGGUAGCCGGCCUGAGAGGGCGACCGGCCACACUGGGACUGAGACACGGCCCAGACUCCUACGGGAGGCAGCAGUGGGGAAUAUUGGGCAAUGGAGGAAACUCUGACCCAGCGACGCCGCGUGAGGGAUGAAGGCCUUCGGGUUGUAAACCUCUUUCAGUAGGGAAGAAGCGAAAGUGACGGUACCUACAGAAGAAGCACCGGCUAACUAUGUGCCAGCAGCCGCGGUAAUACAUAGGGUGCAAGCGUUGUCCGGAAUUAUUGGGCGUAAAGAGCUCGUAGGCGGUUUGUCACGUCUGCUGUGAAAAUCCGAGGCUCAACCUCGGACUUGCAGUGGGUACGGGCAGGCUAGAGUGCGGUAGGGGAGAAGGGAAUUCCUGGUGUAGCGGUGGAAUGCGCAGAUAUCAGGAGGAACACCAAUGGCGAAGGCACUUCUCUGGGCCGUAACUGACGCUGAGGAGCGAAAGCGUGGGGAGCGAACAGGAUUAGAUACCCUGGUAGUCCACGCCGUAAACGGUGGGUGCUAGCUGUGGGCCACAUUCCACGUGGUCCGUGACGAAGUUAACA
RNAcentral lists this ribosomal RNA (786 nucleotides) under uncultured Actinomycetes bacterium. RNAcentral's name for it is "bacterial SSU rRNA". It matches the Rfam family "Bacterial small subunit ribosomal RNA", at positions 56 to 857 of the family's 1533-position model. The record is from RNAcentral. Lineage: Bacteria; Bacillati; Actinomycetota; Actinomycetes.